GCCGAAGUGGCGGAAUUGGCAGACGCGCGUGAUUUAGGAUCACGUGCCGAGAGGCGUGUGGGUUCGAGUCCCACCUUCGGUACCA
RNAcentral lists this transfer RNA (85 nucleotides) under Chloroflexota bacterium. RNAcentral's name for it is "Chloroflexi bacterium tRNA-Leu". It matches the Rfam family "tRNA". Rfam says of the family: Transfer RNA (tRNA) molecules are approximately 80 nucleotides in length. RNAcentral also lists the same sequence under 1 other name. The record is from RNAcentral. Lineage: Bacteria; Bacillati; Chloroflexota.